RNAcentral lists this ribosomal RNA (1974 nucleotides) under Gyrodactylus sedelnikowi. Its description in RNAcentral is "SSU rRNA". It matches the Rfam family "Eukaryotic small subunit ribosomal RNA". Lineage: Eukaryota; Metazoa; Platyhelminthes; Monogenea; Gyrodactylidea; Gyrodactylidae. The record is from RNAcentral.
AACCUGGUUGAUCCUGCCAGUAGUUAUAUGCUUGUCUCGAAGAUUAAGCCAUGCAUGUCUUAGUGCACGCCUCUGUUAUGGUUAAACCGCAAACGGCUCAUUAAAUCAGCCAUGGUUCCUUGGAUCGUACUUACUACACGGAUAACUGUAGUAAUUCUAGAGCUAAUACGUGCCUCGUGUGCCUGAUUCGUAAGAUGAAGGCCGCACUUAUUAGACCAUAAACCAACCGGGCUUGCCUGGCGUUUGGUGGUGACUCUGGAUAACUUUGUAUGAUCGCAGUCGGCCUUGUUGUCGGCGACGGAUCCAUGAAGUGUCUGCCCUAUCAACUUACGAUGGUAGGUGACAUGCCUACCAUGGUUAUGACGGGUAACGGGGAAUCAGGGUUCGAUUCCGGAGAGGGAGCCUGAGAAACGGCUACCACAUCCAAGGAAGGCAGCAGGCGCGCAACUUACCCACUCUCGGCGAGAGGAGGUAGUGAAGACAAAUAUCGAUACAGGACUCUUAAGAGGCUCUGUAAUCGAAAUGAGUGCAUUAUAAAUCCUACAACAAGGAUCUAUUGGAGGGCAAGUCUGGUGCCAGCAGCCGCGGUAACUCCAGCUCCAAUAGCAUAUAUUAAAAUUGCUGCAGUUAAAAAGCUCGUAGUUGGAUCUGGGUUCUGGUCUAGAAGCCGUGUGUGUAGUGUGCUUAUGAGAUUCAUGGGUACAUUAUGCUGCGGUAUUUCUGGACCGAAUCUUCCAGCUGUGUCUAUGUGGUGCUUCGGUAUCGCGUAGAUAGUAUCGAUUGUCUGGUCAGUUCCUUUUGGUUCUCCAGCGUCGGUACUACGCACUGUUAAUGCUCUUAACCGAGUGUUCAGUGUGGGCAGCACGUUUACUUUGAACAAAUUUGAGUGCUCAAAGCAGGCCUUAUGUUGCCUGAAAAGUCUUGCAUGGAAUAAUGAAAUAGGACUUCGGUCCUAUUUUGUUGGUUUAAUAGACCCGAAGUAAUGAUAAAAAGAGACAGACGGGGGCAUUUGUAUGGCAGCGCUAGAGGUGAAAUUCAUGGACCGUUGCCAGACAACCUAAAGCGAAAGCAUCUGCCAAGGAUGUUUUCAUUUACCAGGAGCGAAAGUCAGAGGUUCGAAGACRAUCAGAUACCGUCCUAGUUCYGACCAUAAACGGUGCCAUCUGAUGAUCCGUGGGGCCUCCUUUUGUGAGCCCACGGGCAAUCUCCGGGAAACCUGUAAGACUAUGGGUUCCGGGGAAAGUAUGGUUGCAAAGCUGAAACUUAAAGGAAUUGACGGAAGGGCACCACCAGGAGUGGAGCUUGCGGCUUAAUUUGACUCAACACGGGGAAACUCACCCGGACCGGACACUAUGAGGAUAGACAGAUUGAUAGCUCUUUCUUGAUUUGGUGAUUAGUGGUGCAUGGCCGUUCUUAGUUCGUGGUAUGAAUUGUCUGGUUAAUUCCGAUAACGAACGAGAUUCUAUCCUGCUAAAUAGUUCAUGUGUAACUUUGUGCGGUGGAUACGUCAGCUGGCUUCGGUUGGUUGGGUGUUGCCGUAUGAGCAUAUGGUACUUCUUAGAGGGAUUGGUGGAUAUUCAAGCCACACGAGAAAGAGCAAUAACAGGUCUGUGAUGCCCUUAGAUGUUCGGGGCCGCACGCGUGCUACACUGACAGUAGUAGAGAGUUUGGUAUCCUAGCGCGAAAGUGCUGGGCAAACUUUUCAAUUACUGACGUGCCUGGGAUCGGGGUUUGUAAUUAUCCCCCGUGAACCAGGAAUUCCUAGUAAGCACAAGUCAUCAGCUUGUGCUGAAUACGUCCCUGCCCUUUGUACACACCGCCCGUCGCUACUACCGAUUGAAUGGUUUAGCAAGGUCAAUAGAUCGACCGCAGUUUAGUGUAAACUGACUGUGGUUGAGAAGCUGGCCGAACUUGAUCAUUUAGAGGAAGUACAAGUCGUAACAAGGUUUCCGUAGGUGAACCUGCAGAAGGAUC